GAAAUGCGAUAAGUAAUGUGAAUUGCAGAAUUCAGUGAAUCAUCGAAUCUUUGAACGCACCAUGCGCUCCUUGGUAUUCCUUGGAGCAUGCCUGUUUGAGUAUCAUGAAAUCUUCAAAGUAAAUAUUUUGUUAACUCAAUUGGUUUCUACUUUGGUAUUGGAGGUCUUUGCAGCUUCACACCUGCUCCUCUUUGUUCAUUAGCUGGAUCUCAGUGUUAUGCUUGGUUCCACUCGGCGUGAUAAGUUAUCUAUCGCUGAGGACACUGUAAAAGGUGGCCAAGGUAAAUGCAGAUGAACCGCUUCUAAUAGUCCAUUGACUUGGACAAUACUUUUAUGAUCUGAUCUCAAAUCAGGUAGGACUACCCGCUGAACUUAAGC
This 378-nucleotide unclassified non-coding RNA is filed under the name plant metagenome. RNAcentral describes it as "partial contains 5.8S ribosomal RNA, internal transcribed spacer 2, and large subunit ribosomal RNA". The stretch from base 1 to 105 matches the Rfam family "5.8S ribosomal RNA", at positions 50 to 154 of the family's 154-position model. The record is from RNAcentral.